GACGAGUCGACGAGCACGCCGCUGGAGUGAUGAGGUCUCCGAAUCGUAAGGCUCGGUAUAGGGAGACAAGUAGCGUACGUAUAGUGCAGUACUGACGUACUAUCAGAAAGCCACGCUACUACGUGCCAGCAGCCGCGGUAAUACGUAGGUGGCAAGCGUAGUCCGGAAUUAUUGGGCGUAAAGCGGCUCGUCAGGCGGUUUCUUAAGUCUGAUGUGAAAGCCCCGGGCUCAACCGGGGAGGGUCAUUGGAAACUGAGGAACUUGAGUGCAGAAGAGGAGAGUGGAAUUCCACGUGUAGCGGUGAAAUGCGUAGAGAUGUGGAGGAACACCAGUGGCGAAGGCGACUCUCUGGUCUGUAACUGACGCUGAGGAGCGAAAGCGUGGGGAGCGACCAGGAUUAGAUACCUUGGUAGUCCACGCCGUAAACGAUGAGUGUUAAGUGUUAGGGGGUUUCCGCCCCUUAGUGCUGCAGCUAACGCAUUAAGCAUUCCGCCUGGGGAGUACGGUCGCAAGACUGAAAUUCAAAGGAAUUGACGGGGGCCCGCCCAAGCGGUGGAGCAUGUGGUUUAAUUGGAAGCAACGGGAAGACCCUUACCAGGUCUUGACAUCUUCUGACAAUCCUAGAGAUAGGACGUCCCCUUCGGGGGCAGAGUGACAGGUGGUGCAUGGUUGUUGUCAGCUCGUGUCGUGAGAUGUUGGGUUAAGUCCCGCAACGAGCGCAACCCUUGAUGUUAGUUGCCAGCAUUCAGUUGGGCCCUUUAAGGUGACUGCCGGUGACAAACCGGAGGAAGGUGGGGAAGACGUCAAAUCAUCAUGCCCCUUAUGACCUGGGCUACACACGUGGUACAAUGGACAGAACAAAGGGCAGGGAAACCGCGAGGUUAAGCCAAUCCCACAAAUCUGUUUUCAGUUUGGAUCGCAGUUUGCAACUUGACUGCCUGAAGCUGGAAUCGGUAGUAAUCGCGGAUCAGCAUGCCGCGGUGAAUACGUUCCCGGGCCUUGUACACCCCCCCCGUCCCCCCCCGAGAAUUUGUAACCCCCGAAGUCGGUGUAGGUUACCCAUAGUAGCCA
This 1071-nucleotide ribosomal RNA is filed under the name Bacillus subtilis. RNAcentral's name for it is "bacterial SSU rRNA". It matches the Rfam family "Bacterial small subunit ribosomal RNA", at positions 377 to 1451 of the family's 1533-position model. Lineage: Bacteria; Bacillati; Bacillota; Bacilli; Caryophanales; Bacillaceae. The record is from RNAcentral.